AGCGCCCUCUAAAGUGGAAACUUUUAAGGGUUUAGAGGGCGUUUUUACUGGAAAGCGCCCUCUAAAGUGGAAAUUUAAAGGGUUUAGAGGGCGCUUAUUUUGGAAAGCGCCCUCUAAAGUGGGUGGUUAUUUAAAUUUUUUUUUUAAAAAGCGCUAUAUUUUUUUAUUUAUUUUAGACAACCUGUAUAUUGAAGCAGUACACCCAAAACUGUAUAAUUUGAAGCCCUUUUUCACACAUUGCAUUCAACAAGCCUUAUAUACAACAAUCCAUACAUAUACAACAAUCCACUGAUAUAUAAUCGUUUAACUUCUA
RNAcentral lists this long non-coding RNA (313 nucleotides) under Lathyrus oleraceus (garden pea). Its description in RNAcentral is "Pisum sativum (pea) long non-coding RNA (PSAT_LNC034622)". The record is from RNAcentral. Lineage: Eukaryota; Viridiplantae; Streptophyta; Magnoliopsida; Fabales; Fabaceae.